UGGUGCCCCAACGUGGGACUCAAGAAUGGAGGACUUUGUGAGGGAUGCUGUUUGUGGGCCCAAAGUAGAAAAAGGAAAAAAAAAUAGAGGACCUGGCAACAUGGGAACCUGCCAUGUCGCUGAGCCUUGGUAAGUGAACAGCAAUUAUGGGACAAGAAAUUAGCCAGCAUGAGAUUUUUAUUGAAAGUUUAGGAAAGGCUUUAAAGAUGUGAGUGGUAAAGGAAAAAAUUGAGCAGUUGUGUCCAUUAGGGCAAGAAAUGAGCCCU
Regulatory RNA element from Cavia porcellus (domestic guinea pig), 266 nucleotides. It matches the Rfam family "Mason-Pfizer monkey virus packaging signal". From Rfam's summary of the family: The packaging signal is located in the 5' UTR and is required for specific RNA encapsidation. Lineage: Eukaryota; Metazoa; Chordata; Mammalia; Rodentia; Caviidae. The record is from Rfam.